RNAcentral lists this ribosomal RNA (510 nucleotides) under Pantoea sp. PNT01. RNAcentral describes it as "bacterial SSU rRNA". It matches the Rfam family "Bacterial small subunit ribosomal RNA", at positions 1030 to 1533 of the family's 1533-position model. Lineage: Bacteria; Pseudomonadati; Pseudomonadota; Gammaproteobacteria; Enterobacterales; Erwiniaceae. The record is from RNAcentral.
UGAGACAGGUGCUGCAUGGCUGUCGUCAGCUCGUGUUGUGAAAUGUUGGGUUAAGUCCCGCAACGAGCGCAACCCUUAUCCUUUGUUGCCAGCGCGUGAUGGCGGGAACUCAAAGGAGACUGCCGGUGAUAAACCGGAGGAAGGUGGGGAUGACGUCAAGUCAUCAUGGCCCUUACGAGUAGGGCUACACACGUGCUACAAUGGCGCAUACAAAGAGAAGCGACCUCGCGAGAGCAAGCGGACCUCACAAAGUGCGUCGUAGUCCGGAUCGGAGUCUGCAACUCGACUCCGUGAAGUCGGAAUCGCUAGUAAUCGUGGAUCAGAAUGCCACGGUGAAUACGUUCCCGGGCCUUGUACACACCGCCCGUCACACCAUGGGAGUGGGUUGCAAAAGAAGUAGGUAGCUUAACCUUCGGGAGGGCGCUUACCACUUUGUGAUUCAUGACUGGGGUGAAGUCGUAACAAGGUAACCGUAGGGGAACCUGCGGUUGGAUCACCUCCUUACCUGAA